GAUGAACGCUAGCUACAGGCUUAACACAUGCAAGUCGCAGGGUAACGUGAGAGAAGCUUGCUUCCCUUGACGACGACUGGCGCACGGGUGAGUAACGCGUAUCCAACCUUCCCAUGACCACGGGAUAACCCGUUGAAAGACGGACUAAUACCGUAUGACGUCGUUUGCUGACAUCAAAUAACGAUUAAAGGUUUAGCGGUGAUGGAUGGGGAUGCGUCUGAUUAGCUUGUUGGCGGGGUAACGGCCCACCAAGGCUACGAUCAGUAGGGGUUCUGAGAGGAAGGUCCCCCACAUUGGAACUGAGACACGGUCCAAACUCCUACGGGAGGCAGCAGUGAGGAAUAUUGGUCAAUGGGCGAGAGCCUGAACCAGCCAAGUAGCGUGCAGGAUGACGGCCCUAUGGGUUGUAAACUGCUUUUAUGCGGGGAUAAAGUGCGUGACGUGUCAUGCAUUGCAGGUACCGCAUGAAUAAGGACCGGCUAAUUCC
This 487-nucleotide ribosomal RNA is filed under the name uncultured Prevotella sp. RNAcentral's name for it is "bacterial SSU rRNA". It matches the Rfam family "Bacterial small subunit ribosomal RNA", at positions 28 to 504 of the family's 1533-position model. The record is from RNAcentral. Lineage: Bacteria; Pseudomonadati; Bacteroidota; Bacteroidia; Bacteroidales; Prevotellaceae.